RNAcentral lists this unclassified non-coding RNA (378 nucleotides) under plant metagenome. RNAcentral's name for it is "partial contains 5.8S ribosomal RNA, internal transcribed spacer 2, and large subunit ribosomal RNA". The stretch from base 1 to 105 matches the Rfam family "5.8S ribosomal RNA", at positions 50 to 154 of the family's 154-position model. The record is from RNAcentral.
GAAAUGCGAUAAGUAAUGUGAAUUGCAGAAUUCAGUGAAUCAUCGAAUCUUUGAACGCACAUUGCGCUCCUUGGUAUUCCUUGGAGCAUGCCUGUUUGAGUAUCAUGAAAUCUUCAAAGUAAAUCUUUUGUUAACUCAAUUGGUUUCUACUUUGGUAUUGGAGGUCUUUGCAGCUUCACACCUGCUCCUCUUUGUUCAUUAGCUGGAUCUCAGUGUUAUGCUUGGUUCCACUUGGCGUGAUAAGUUAUCUAUCGCUGAGGACACUGUAAAAGGUGGCCAAGGUAAAUGCAGAUGAACCGCUUCUAAUAGUCCAUUGACUUGGACAAUACUUUUAUGAUCUGAUCUCAAAUCAGGUAGGACUACCCGCUGAACUUAAGC